This 476-nucleotide ribosomal RNA is filed under the name Escherichia coli. RNAcentral describes it as "partial 23S ribosomal RNA". It matches the Rfam family "Bacterial large subunit ribosomal RNA", at positions 2165 to 2640 of the family's 2925-position model. The record is from RNAcentral. Lineage: Bacteria; Pseudomonadati; Pseudomonadota; Gammaproteobacteria; Enterobacterales; Enterobacteriaceae.
UGGACGCCAGUCUGCAUGGAGCCGACCUUGAAAUACCACCCUUUAAUGUUUGAUGUUCUAACGUUGACCCGUGAUCCGGGUUGCGGACAGUGUCUGGUGGGUAGUUUGACUGGGGCGGUCUCCUCCUAAAGAGUAACGGAGGAGCACGAAGGUUGGCUAAUCCUGGUCGGACAUCAGGAGGUUAGUGCAAUGGCAUAAGCCAGCUUGACUGCGAGCGUGACGGCGCGAGCAGGUGCGAAAGCAGGUCAUAGUGAUCCGGUGGUUCUGAAUGGAAGGGCCAUCGCUCAACGGAUAAAAGGUACUCCGGGGAUAACAGGCUGAUACCGCCCAAGAGUUCAUAUCGACGGCGGUGUUUGGCACCUCGAUGUCGGCUCAUCACAUCCUGGGGCUGAAGUAGGUCCCAAGGGUAUGGCUGUUCGCCAUUUAAAGUGGUACGCGAGCUGGGUUUAGAACGUCGUGAGACAGUUCGGUCCCUA